Molecule: ribosomal RNA, 510 nt
Filed under: uncultured bacterium
Lineage: Bacteria
Description: partial 16S ribosomal RNA
Rfam family: Bacterial small subunit ribosomal RNA
Source: RNAcentral
GACGAACGCUGGCGGCGUGCUUAACACAUGCAAGUCGAACGAAGAGCGAUGGAAGCUUGCUUCUAUCAAUCUUAGUGGCGAACGGGUGAGUAACGCGUAAUCAACCUGCCCUUCAGAGGGGGACAACAGUUGGAAACGACUGCUAAUACCGCAUACGAUCUAAUCUCGGCAUCGAGGAUAGAUGAAAGGUGGCCUCUACAUGUAAGCUAUCACUGAAGGAGGGGAUUGCGUCUGAUUAGCUAGUUGGAGGGGUAACGGCCCACCAAGGCGAUGCUCAGUAGGCGGUCUGAGAGGAUGAACGGCCACAUUGGGACUGAGACACGGCCCAGACUCCUACGGGAGGCAGCAGUGGGGAAUCUUCCGCAAUGGACGAAAGUCUGACGGAGCAACGCCGCGUGAGCGAUGACGGCCUUCGGGUUGUAAAGCUCUGUUAAUCGGGACGAAAGGCCUUCUUGCGAAUAGUGAGAAGGAUUGACGGUACCGGAAGAGAAAGCCACGGCUAACUACGUG